RNAcentral lists this long non-coding RNA (1022 nucleotides) under Anser brachyrhynchus (Pink-footed goose). Its description in RNAcentral is "lncRNA (ENSABRG00000010983.1)". The record is from RNAcentral. Lineage: Eukaryota; Metazoa; Chordata; Aves; Anseriformes; Anatidae.
AAUAGUGAAUUCACUGAGUGUGGCUUUGUAUAACGACUUCCACGACCAUAACAUUUUUCUCCUUUGUCACAGAUAGGAGGAAAACUCUUUAGAGAGAGAUGGAGAAGGAAUUAAUUAUACCUCUGCCUCAUCCCGUGAGACCAGAAGACGUGGAGUAACUGUAAGCUGUGAUUCUCAGGAGACAUACUAAGCAUCUCUGGUUUCUUCUCUGCCUGCCCCCCUAAGGCCUUAGGGAUGAGAAAUCUUAGGCUUAAUGUUUUUCCCUAUGAAAUACUGUCGCGUUAAGGGGCGUAGCUGACUAACUGUUACGGGUCUGGUCGGAUUCGGGGUACUGAACAACCACGGUCACGGAUUCACCAAUAACGUAGCACAUCCUCACUCUAGUUGUGUUCAAUGAGAACUGUCACGGCUAGGAACAAUGCAACGAAGGGCAGUUUAUUACAGCAACAGGAACACAGGUUCUUUGGAAUUGCCGGCGAUAAAUUCACUGUCCGCAAAAGCAAGUGAGCACGCAUGAAAUACACAGGUACUCGUCCUGGCUGUUAACGCACUAAAAGGCACAAAGGCUCUAGAGAUUUCUAAGCUUCUACGGAGACGCCUGGUACAACCAAGCAUUCAUAUCUUACCCUACGACAUCCCAGUGUGGGGGGAAGAGAGGCUCAGCCUGUCGACUGAUCCUGGAAGUCAGAAAGAGACCAGUGAUAGGACCCGUGGGAAUGGUGUCAACCUGCGGCAGGAGAGGUUCAGGCUAGACAUCAGAAAGAGGUUCUUCACUGAGAGGGUUGUUGAGCACUGGAACAGUCUCCCCAGGGCGGUAGUCGCUUCACCAAGUAUGUUGGAGUUUAAGAAGCGUUUGGACUGUGCACUUAGUCAUAUGGUCUGAAUUUUUGGGUUGACCUGUGCCAUGCCGGGAGUUGGGCUCGAUGAUCCUUGUGUAUCCCUUCCAAUUCGGGAUAUUCUAUGACUCUGUGAUUAUUUUCUGUCCCUUUUAGGUGGAGCUUGAGUGACUCUAGUCAGGCAUA